UAUUGGUGUCUUAGACCAACAUAUUGGUCUCUCAGAGCCUUAUAGACAGAACCCCAACUUCUGGUUCUCCUCCUGCAAUGUAUCUCACCUUCAAUUUUCCCUGCAGUUAGGAUGCUUCCCUUUCUCUCAUCUGUCCCCCAGUCUCAUCUCCUUUGGGACAUCACACCGAUUUCCUUAGCAGCCAGCCCUGUGGUGGUUUAGAGCCCUAUGGACUGUGAUCUCUAGAUAGUGCUCUUGUGGGUCUGAUAAGGAUUUAUUUGCUCUUUAUGGGGAGGAAUGUGUGAAAAAAUAGCACCAUUUAUUACCACAACAUCAUUUAAGCACUCAUGUUCCAGACUCAGUGACUAAAUGCUGGUUAGUUUGUAUAAUUCCCAGAAAAGAUUCUAUGAAGUGGGAACUAAUAUUACCUCCACAUCACCAGGAGAGAGGAUAUUGAGGCACAGAAUGGCCAAGGAGUUCAACCAGUGUCCCAGUUAAUUAUGCUUAAGUAGUUUGGCUGGUCCCAGAGUUGAUUAUGACGUUUAAACCCACGAAGUCUGAGCUGGCCGAGCACUUACUGUGAGCUUGGGUGAUGGUCAUCACCGGGGUGCACACCAGGUGUGUGCGCGCCCCAUGAAGUACCUGGCUACUUGCCCUAACGUUGUCCGCCCGAGGCACCCUGCAUCUGCUCUCCGCCUCGGCGGGCCUCACUUAACUUGGAUGCGCUGAGACAAAGACCUCUUGUGCCUCAUGUGCCAGGCACGUGGUGCAUCUGUGACCAAUGCGAGUGCGGCCUCCACGUGCAGCCCGAGGGCCCAUCCGUGGCAGAAGCCCCUCCCCGGGGUCUAUUAACUGACGGCCUGAGGGGGAGAAGUGGAGAGAAAUGCUGUGUUUUAGCUCAUGGGCUGCACGACCACAGCUCUGACCCUGGUUGGGAGACGGUGGCCACGCUGAAACCCACCUUUCCACGACCCAGCGCAGGUGAUUUCUGAGGAGAUCUAGAAGACUGAUCUUUGACAAGUGGCAAGGAUCAUGUACUACAAUUAUGUUCUCAUAAAGUUAUUGAAAUUAUCAAAGCUCUCUUCAGAAAUUUAAAAAUUAUCAAGGUGAGAAAUAAUGUAUCAUUAAUUUAUCUGUGGAUUCUUUUUUACCAUUAUGAGAAUAAAUUCCUAGUCCCUAUUCUAUUUCUAACUCA
Molecule: long non-coding RNA, 1174 nt
Filed under: Vulpes vulpes (red fox)
Lineage: Eukaryota; Metazoa; Chordata; Mammalia; Carnivora; Canidae
Description: lncRNA (ENSVVUG00000006269.1)
Source: RNAcentral